This 365-nucleotide ribosomal RNA is filed under the name uncultured Pseudomonas sp. Its description in RNAcentral is "bacterial SSU rRNA". It matches the Rfam family "Bacterial small subunit ribosomal RNA", at positions 1016 to 1382 of the family's 1533-position model. Lineage: Bacteria; Pseudomonadati; Pseudomonadota; Gammaproteobacteria; Pseudomonadales; Pseudomonadaceae. The record is from RNAcentral.
GCCUUCGGGAACUCUGACACAGGUGCUGCAUGGCUGUCGUUCAGCUCGUGUCGUGAGAUGUUGGUUAAGUCCGUAACGAGCGCAACCCUUGUCCUUAGUUACCAGCACGUUAUGGUGGGCACUCUAAGGAGACUGCCGGUGCAAACCGGAGGAAGGUGGGGAUGACGUCAAGUCAUCAUGGCCCUUACGGCCUGGGCUACACACGUGCUACAAUGGUCGGUACAAAGGGUUGCCAAGCCGCGAGGUGGAGCUAAUCCCAUAAAACCGAUCGUAGUCCGGAUCGCAGUCUGCAACUCGACUGCGUGAAGUCGGAAUCGCUAGUAAUCGUGAAUCAGAAUGUCACGGUGAAUACGUUCCCGGGCCUU